UUGAUGUUGAUGCGACGUCGCACCAACCAGCAUCGUGGGCCUGAUUUUGCAGCGAAUUUUGGCUGUCAAUUAUUCUUGAAUUUCAGCAACUAAACGUAAUUUGGUGCUUGAUUUUUGAAAAAUACUGCGUGUCAUCGUGGCAAGUACAAAUAAAUAAUCUGUCGGUAAACUUUAUGGCAGUGUUAUCUUAAUAUUGGAAGGGCUCUCUUCUGGUAAGUUGUAUCAUUAAAUAAUCUUACUGUUUCGUA
Molecule: long non-coding RNA, 248 nt
Filed under: Vigna radiata
Lineage: Eukaryota; Viridiplantae; Streptophyta; Magnoliopsida; Fabales; Fabaceae
Description: long non-coding RNA (VRAD_LNC002336)
Source: RNAcentral